UUAAAUUAAAGAUGGAUCAAGAAGGAUGAGACCUUUUGUGGGCAAAUAAGGAGGGUCAAGGAAGACAGAAUUGUAAGCUUGCGGUGGCUCAUCACAGAAGGCGUGAUGGGAAAUCUGAAUUCAUAGUGGCUCAGAAUACAAAGGGACUAUUGAAGAGUUCAGAAGACAGUUUAAUUGGGAAAGUGACUGCUAAUCUUAUGGGAUCAAAAUACCACAUAUGGAUCAGAUUUAUGGCUACUUGGCCUGCCUGGAGUGGCAGUUAUAGAAGGAUCAAAGCAUGGAUAGCGAAGCACCAAUCCAUGCUGUUGAAGAGCACGACACAAGUGAUCACGUUCAACCAAUGUGAGGAAGAAUGAUUUCUAGAUGUACACUUUUACUAAUUCCCAGCUUGGGCUUUUGUCUUUUUACUUAGAUACAACAUAUUAAUCCAAUGCCAAUGGAUUGGAAGGAGCAUAUGGUGGAUAAAGUGCAUCAGCUCUUCUUAAGGGUUCCCCACUUUAACAAGGUAGGAGAGAUACCACAGCGGCUGCCAAAAUUCUAAGGAAUUUGACCAUAUACAGUUUUUGAUUCAAACGAAAAUUCUUAUUACUGGUGUGGCUAUCUUGGAGUCCGUGGGCAUUGCCAAAGCUCUGGCUGCAAAGAAUGGAUAUGAGUUGGAUUCAAAUCAAGAGUUAUUUGGUCUUGGUGUUGCCAACAUUUGUGGUUCAUUCUUCUCAUCAUACCCUACAACAGGU
Molecule: long non-coding RNA, 734 nt
Organism: Ipomoea triloba (trilobed morning glory)
Lineage: Eukaryota; Viridiplantae; Streptophyta; Magnoliopsida; Solanales; Convolvulaceae
Exons: 6
Source: RefSeq, a predicted model, not a curated record